CACACCGCCCGUCGCUACUACCGAUUGAAUGGCUCAGUGAGGCCUUCGGACUGGCUCAGGGAGGUUGGCAACGACCACCCCGAGCCGGAAAGUUCGUCAAACUCGGUCAUUUAGAGGAAGUAAAAGUCGUAACAAGGUUUCGAUCCUUCACGCAACACGUGCGGAAGCCUUUGCAGCUGGAAACAGUAAGCUGGAACGACUAUAAACAAAAGCCGGCCUCGUGCAAGUCAGCUAUUAUGCUGGCGACACUUUCGAAUUGCGGGGAUCCCCUAAAACCUCUCCACACCAAGCCAGCGAGGGAAACCUCCUGGUGGCCGGUGGGAAACUACCCGGGUACGGUAAAAGCGGGAGAGGAUGAAGCUGACGGCGCACAGGCGCCGGCAGUGGAAAUGGGCAAUCCGCAGCGAAGCCCCUAAGGUUCGCUGGCUGCAUAAGCCAGUAACCCGGGGAACGUUCACAGACUAAGUGGAAGUGGGUGGAGCGCCAUGCUCUGCUUAAGAUAUAGUCGGGCCCCACGGGAAACCCUGGGGAAAAAGCCGUUCCGUAGGUGAACCUGCGGAAGGAUCAUUAUCGUAGGGCGCUCGCGCCCUUCGAGAUAGCACCCUUUGUUUAUGAGUACCUCUCGUUUCCUCGGCAGGCCCGCCUGCCAACGGGGACCCACAACAAACCCAUUGCAGUAAAAGAAGUACACGUCUGAAAAACAAAACAAACAUUUACAACUUUCAACAACGGAUCUCUUGGUUCUGGCAUCGAUGAAGAACGCAGCGAAAUGCGAUAAGUAGUGUGAAUUGCAGAAUUCAGUGAAUCAUCGAAUCUUUGAACGCACAUUGCGCCCUUUGGUAUUCCGAAGGGCAUGCCUGUUCGAGCGUCAUUUCAACCCUCAAGCCUAGCUUGGUGUUGGGCGUUUGUCCCGCCUCCGCGCGCCUGGACUCGCCUCAAAAGCAUUGGCGGCCGGUUCCCAGCAGGCCACGAAGCGCAGCACAGCAAGCGCUAAAGUGGCUGCGGGUCGGCGCACCAGAAGCCCCCCCCAUAUCAGAAGUUUGACCUCGGAUCAGGUAGGGAUACCCGCUGAACUUAAGCAUAUCAAUAAGCGGAGGAAAAGAAACCAACAGGGAUUGCCCUAGUAACGGCGAGUGAAGCGGCAACAGCUCAAAUUUGAAAUCUGGCCCUCUAGGGGGUCCGAGUUGUAAUUUGCAGAGGGUGCUUUGGCGUUGGCGGCGGUCUAAGUUCCUUGGAACAGGACGUCACAGAGGGUGAGAAUCCCGUAUGUGGUCGCCGGCCUUCGCCGUGUAAAGCCCCUUCGACGAGUCGAGUUGUUUGGGAAUGCAGCUCUAAAUGGGAGGUAAAUUUCUUCUAAAGCUAAAUACUGGCCAGAGACCGAUAGCGCACAAGUAGAGUGAUCGAAAGAUGAAAAGCACUUUGGAAAGAGAGUCAAAAAGCACGUGAAAUUGUUGAAAGGGAAGCGCUUGCAGCCAGACUUGCCUGUAGUUGCUCAGCCGGGCUCCGGCCCGGUGCACUCUUCUGCGGGCAGGCCAGCAUCAGUUCGGGCGGCCGGAUAAAGACCUCUGUCACGUACCUCCCUUCGGGGAGGCCUUAUAGGGGAGGUGAAAUGCGGCCAGUCCGGACUGAGGUCCGCGCAUCUGCUAGGAUGCUGGCGUAAUGGCUGUAAGCGGCCCGUCUUGAAACACGGACCAAGGAGUCUAACAUCUAUGCGAGUGUUUGGGUGUCAAGCCCGAGCGCGUAAUGAAAGUGAACGGAGGUGGGAACCCCUCGGGGUGCACCAUCGACCGAUCCUGAUGUCUUCGGAUGGAUUUGAGUAAGAGCAUAGCUGUUGGGACCCGAAAGAUGGUGAACUAUGCUUGAAUAGGGUGAAGCCAGAGGAAACUCUGGUGGAGGCUCGCAGCGGUUCUGACGUGCAAAUCGAUCGUCAAAUUUGGGCAUAGGGGCGAAAGACUAAUCGAAC
RNAcentral lists this ribosomal RNA (1963 nucleotides) under Corynespora smithii. RNAcentral describes it as "eukaryotic LSU rRNA". The stretch from base 1042 to 1963 matches the Rfam family "Eukaryotic large subunit ribosomal RNA", at positions 1 to 940 of the family's 3401-position model. The record is from RNAcentral. Lineage: Eukaryota; Fungi; Ascomycota; Dothideomycetes; Pleosporales; Corynesporascaceae.